Podarcis muralis (Common wall lizard) is the source of this 498-nucleotide non-coding RNA. Lineage: Eukaryota; Metazoa; Chordata; Lepidosauria; Squamata; Lacertidae. The record is from RefSeq and is a predicted model, not a curated record.
CUCGUCCUUCUCUCGCUCUCUGACGUGCGCAGACGGACCCCGCCCACGGAGUCCCCUUCGAGCCCACGUGAUGUCUCCCGCCCUCCUUUCCCUUGAUCCGCCUGUCUGCUUUCGCGUUCUAGUGGGCGGCGGCUCAGCGAGCACCUGUCCUGCAAAGCGCUCUCACAAACGGUCCAGAUCAUUAAAACACGCUGGUUUUUGCAGAUGUCAGAGAAAGCCACCAGGGAGGGAGAUCACUUAUAAGCAGCUAUUUAGUCUUAAAGGCUGAAUAGAGCCUCCACGUGCAGGAACAGUAUAUCUGACACCGAGGAAAAACCGGAUUGAAUUUUCAAAAGAGAGGCGAAUCGGAAAGAAGCUGAUUGAUAGCGCAGGUGAGAAUCACUGCAAGGUCAGCCAGGACCACAUCAGCCCCCUCACUUGGCGGAGAGUCCCUGUCAGCUGUCAGUAUGGACGAGGACAUGUUGGAAGAAGACAAGCACUUUGCCUGAAUUCAUAGAU